Molecule: long non-coding RNA, 3504 nt
Organism: Herpailurus yagouaroundi (jaguarundi)
Lineage: Eukaryota; Metazoa; Chordata; Mammalia; Carnivora; Felidae
Exons: 4
Source: RefSeq, a predicted model, not a curated record
CGGCGUGCUGUUCGCCACCCGGGGUCAGAGGGCGGUGGGCGCCCCGCCCAGGUCGUUGCCGAAAUGCGGGGUUGAAGGCGCGGGUUGGGUGCCACCUGGCCGGUGUCCGCGCGUGGGCGGACCCCGCCAGCUGGGCCCCCUCGCGCUUGGGGCGGCAGAGGACAGAGGAGCCAGGCAGCCGCGGCGGAGGGGAGGGAGAGCGAGAGGGAGAGCGCGCGGCCGCGGGACCCAGCCGGUACCUGGGCACCACUCGCUCCGAGUAGCGGCAUCCCUUCCCCAGGGCACUCUGUGUGCUAGGACGUAGCACAGUGCUCAGGACACGUAAAAGGACUGCAAUCAGACCACGCUCGUUCUCCAACCCCAACGAACGUCGUCAGGAGCGCGCUGUAAAGGCGCGGACAGGAGUUGUGUCUUUGCAAAGUCAGCUUUGCUCAGUCGUAAAGCAGUGGUAGCCAUUGUAAAGCAGGUUCAGGAUUCCAAGCUCAGUGACGUUGCGUUACACGUUGAACUUGGCUUCCUUCAAGUCACGUAAAGUGACAAAAGAGAACAAGGGAUAAGAAGUUUAUGCGCCUACUGCAAAGCCGGUUGAGAUGAAGCCUGGGUCUGGUUCGAAAUGCGUCAGCGGUUCACGCACGGCGGUCACUCUUCGAGCGGAGCAAGCAUCCCCUCCGUUCGGAGAGCCAUGGGGCCGAGAGCCAUAGAGCAUCCCGGGGCAGCGCUCAAGCCCUCAGACGUCGGUUUUAUUUGGGCGCGGGGGGUGGGGGGAGCGCCAGCGUCUGGAGAAUCUGGAGGUUGGUUGCGGAACUCCUACUUUUCACAGGAAUUUAAUCAGCCUUAGGUCUUUCCAGACCUCCUCCGGUUCUUGUGAUUCUCGGCACCUGGUUCUUCCAGGUUCCAUGGCCUUGUGGGUUCUCAGGCCUUAGUUCUGCCAGUCCGUGCUGGUUUGGGUGAGCUCUGCUCUCGGCUGCUUUCCUGAUUGUAUCACAACUUGGCAUGAGUGACGCCAUCUUGCACUCUAGAGAACUAAGUUAGAAAUCAGCAACAGAAGGAAACCGGGAAAGUCACAGUUGUGUGGACGUUAAGCAGCGGUCUUCCGUAACUAACGGGGCAAGGAGAGAAUCAUGAGAAAUAAGAUGCUUGUGAAUGAAAAUAAAAACCUAUACUAAAGCUUGUGUGCUGCCUGAUAAUGCAGCGCUUAGAGGGAAAUUUAUGACAAAAACCCCAUAUUAAAAAAAAGAAAAUCUGGAAUCUAGCCUUUGGCCAUAAGAAAUGAGAAAAGCAAACUAAAAAAGCAGAAACAAAAAUAUUGAUUAGGGCAGGAAUAAAUAGAAAACAGAAAAGCAGUGGGGAAAAACUUACAAAACCAAAGGUUGGUUUUUUGAAAAGAUUAACACACGACAAAAACUUUAGCUGCAUUGACCAGGUUAAAAAAAAAAAAAAAAAAAGAGGAAAACUCUAAUUACCGAAAUCAGGAAAGUGAAAAGAGCACUACUGACUUCGCGAAAUUAAAAUGAUAAUAAGGGAAAAAUAUAAAAACUGUGUGCCAACAAACUAGAUAAUUUAAGUGAAAUGGAUAAAGUUCUGGAAAAACCAAAAUACAGAACUUGAAGAAGAAAUAGAAAAUAUGAGUAGACCUGUAACAUAUAUAGAACUAUUGCCACUUUUUCUGAGUGUUAUAAAAGGCCUCAUGGACUCCAGAACUUUCAAAGAGGGUGUUCUAUGUCAGUACUUUCUCACUCCUUGGUCCCCACCUCUGAUCCUGCUAGUGGUCUCUAGAAGCUUCUUUCAAAGCUCCUGAGUCCUCAGUCGUGGUCAGGUGUUGAAGGAAGCCACACUCCUCAGCAAGAUAGAGCUAUUGUGGUUUUUCCUCUGGUUAUCCGAGAAGCAGAUACACCUCACUAAAAGGUAUCAUUUUUCUAGAAUUAAUACAGUCUAGCCUUGGGGUGAAAGCGUACAUUUUCUACUAACGUGACUUUGAUCUUGGUCCUUAGAAAAUACCAACACGUUUUUCAUAUUGUUGCCAUGAGGGGCUGCCGGCUCUACCCAACCCUACUGUGCAGGACAAGAGCCACACACGGUGUGGACUCCAUCAUACAUACCUUGCAGUGGUGGCAUUUUUAUAUUUUUCCGAUUGCUGAUGAAAGGAAGCAACCCUGCCUCCUCACCGUCCUCGGGCCACUCCAGCUGUCACAGAAAUGUGCUUUUUCGGGGUCUGGCAAUUGUGAGUUCUCCAGCCCCCGCCCUCCCCAGAUGUACCCAGUCCUAGAAGCCUCAGGAGGUCAACCUGCAGUGUUCCAGGUGCUAUCUCAAGGAGAUCCCCGGGACUCACUUCGUGGGCCCCCCCAGCCUCCUGCGUAGGUCUGACGGGCCUGGUGCUCUCCGUGGGGCUUCUACAAAAACACAUCACACGGCGCCCAGGAUUGUUUUCACUGGUGUGCCAGACGCUGUGUAUCCAAAAAGCACAGAGCUAGAACAGCCUUUCUCCCGUAGGCACACGGGGUGAGGGGCUGGUCGCCUGAUCGCAGUCAGCCUGAUCUGGGGCAGGUGGAGGCCGAGGUCCGGCUCAGUCCGCUUCUGGUUCGGAGUAUCUCCGAGGUUGUUGAUACUGUGUGAAAAUCGGAUUGAUUGUUUUGCAGAAUGAUCUCGUAUCCUGCGGUCUUGUGAAGAUAAUCUCAUUUAUUAGUUCUGGUUGUUGUUUUUUGUUUGUUUUGUUUUUUUGUGGAAGUCUUAGAAUUUUCUCUACAUAGACUCAGGUCAUCUGUAAAUAGUUUUGUUUCUUCUUUUCAAUAUUUAUGGUUUAAUUUCUCCUGCUUUCUCUCAUUCCCUCCCUCUCCUCCUUUCUCUGAAGGGAUGUGGCCAUUGCUCUGACUGAAGCCCCCACACAAUGCUGAGUAGAGAUACUCACCCAGUCUGCACUCCCGGGAUCAAUUCCGACUGGUCAUGGCUUACAAUCCUUUUUAUAUGUUUCUGGAUUCGGUUUGCUGAUAUUUUGUGAAGGGUUUUGUGUCAGUGUUCAUCAGAGAUGCUAUGUGAAGCUUUCCUGUGAUGUUCUGUCUGGCUUCGGCCUCGGGAUUGGGAAGCUGACAUCCAGAGCGGCUGUAACUAAACUGGUUCCUGGAGUGAAGGCAUCUGGAUUCUGGUCUGUGACACCACAAUUGUCUGGACGGGUUCCACCGUCUCAGGACUGUCUGCACCCAGUGACACAGCGUACCUGCUUGUACGACGCAUACACUCAAGCUCCUGUCAUGGUGACCGUCAGCUUUUUGGCGGGAAACCCGAGACGUCGUAGACUUCUCCAUGUCACAAAGAGUUGGAUUCGGGGGAGGGGAUUCACAUACUGAGUCGUUGCCUUUGUCAGGAGGACAAAUUGUGGUGGGAUAGAGUCACAGUGCGUAAGGGGGACCUUAUUUCCUGCUUGACGUGCUGGGGGGAGGGGGCACCUGGGUGGCUCAGUCGGUUGAGCGUCAGACUCUUGGUUUCUGCUCAGGUCAUGAUCCCAGGGUU